GGGGGAGUGGUGAAAUAAGGCAAACACGCGGAAGUGGGACUUCCGUGGACUUACGUCCUUGCGGGUUCGACCCCCGUCUCCCCCACCA
This 88-nucleotide transfer RNA is filed under the name Burkholderiales bacterium. RNAcentral's name for it is "tRNA-Pro". It matches the Rfam family "tRNA". Rfam says of the family: Transfer RNA (tRNA) molecules are approximately 80 nucleotides in length. Their secondary structure includes four short double-helical elements and three loops (D, anti-codon, and T loops). Further hydrogen bonds mediate the characteristic L-shaped molecular structure. tRNAs have two regions of fundamental functional importance: the anti-codon, which is responsible for specific mRNA codon recognition, and the 3' end, to which the tRNAs corresponding amino acid is attached (by aminoacyl-tRNA synthetases). tRNAs cope with the degeneracy of the genetic code in two manners: having more than one tRNA (with a specific anti-codon) for a particular amino acid; and 'wobble' base-pairing, i.e. permitting non-standard base-pairing at the 3rd anti-codon position. The record is from RNAcentral. Lineage: Bacteria; Pseudomonadati; Pseudomonadota; Betaproteobacteria; Burkholderiales.